UACGUAGGGUGCAGGCGUUGUCCGGAAUUAUUGGGCGUAAAGAGCUCGUAGGCGGUCUGUCGCGUCGGAUGUGAAAACCCGGGGCUUAACCCCGGGCCUGCAUUCGAUACGGGCAGACUCGAGUGUGGUAGGGGAGACUGGAACUCCUGGUGUAGCGGUGAAAUGCGCAGAUAUCAGGAAGAACACCGGUGGCGAAGGCGGGUCUCUGGGCCACUACUGACGCUGAGGAGCGAAAGCGUGGGGAGCGAACAGG
Molecule: ribosomal RNA, 253 nt
Filed under: uncultured bacterium
Lineage: Bacteria
Description: partial 16S ribosomal RNA
Rfam family: Bacterial small subunit ribosomal RNA
Source: RNAcentral